GAAAAAAGUUAUUUGUUAAAUUUUUUAUGCCAGAUAACCUACACUGACACUGGGACUGGAUGUCAUUUUUCAAAGAAUUUUGGAUUUAAAAAAAGAAAGAAAGAAAGAAGUGGCUUUUUGCUUUUGACACUUGACAUAGACUUUAGUUGUAGAAUUUGAACAUCAUGUCUCAUUGAAGUGCGUGCGGGACUGUGAUUCUCAAAGGAGCAGAAUGCAGCACGGAUAUGGGUCUACCAGAUGGCUAUACCACUCACUGACACACAUUAGGAAUAUGCAAAGAAGUGAAAGAAGGGCAAGUUAGUAUUUUUACUAUUCUUAGGAAUAGGAAAA
RNAcentral lists this unclassified non-coding RNA (330 nucleotides) under Hevea brasiliensis (rubber tree). Lineage: Eukaryota; Viridiplantae; Streptophyta; Magnoliopsida; Malpighiales; Euphorbiaceae. The record is from RNAcentral.